CCAUUUCCCAGAGGCUCCGUCUCCCACGCCCUGCUGUCCCUGAGCCGGCACAGGCCCCCUCACCGCAGCCUCUCGGUUCCCGGCGGAGCCGAGCGCUGCCCGGCGGCACCACAGGGUGUCACCCUCGGCCCGGGCCCAGAGCACGGGGCACCGCGGGCAGACAGCGCCGCGGCCGCCGCCGCAGCUCUGCCUGAGGCCCCCGGGCAGCCCGGGCUGCGGCCCUGACCCGCACGGCUGCAGGGCACCGCACACACACGCGUGGGGAGCACACGCUGGCACCGCGGUGCCCCCCGAAACCGCGCAGGGAGGCCAGGAGCUGCCACAUUGCAGUCUCUCAAAGAACAGGCCUUUCUUUCAGAGUCUGACCUGACUCUCAAGCAAUCGCUGGACAAAUUGUGGCUGUGCUUAUCUGUGUUGUUUGCAACUUUCUUCUUCAGGCUUUUUUUUUUUUUUUCCCCUCCUCAUUUUUGGAAUGUUUUGGAAGCAUUUUUGCAGAAAUUUUCCAUAAUCAGGCCUAGCCAGCAUGGAAAAUUUUAUCCUGAUCUUGAAAUGUAGGCCUUCAUAGCAGAAACUGCAACUGUGGGGAGCAUCAGAAAGCAUCAGAAAGCAUCAGAAAGCAUCAGAAAGCAUCAGAAAGCAUCUUUACUCCUGAGCAACGUUUGACUGUCCAACUUUUCUCAGCGACUGCUCAUCUGGAUUCCCAGAAUUGCUAAGACCACCAACUGAACUACCUGAUGGAUACUGGGAGCUGUGAAGAAGGUGCAGAUGCUCCAUUCCUCAGAGAAAAAAAACAACCAUCACCACAGAAGGAUCACCCCAGAAGAAGUGGUUAUCUUACUUCUUGGCCAGAAAUGCCUCUUGCAGGCCUUCUCAGUAGUACUCAGUAAUAAAAAACUAUUUAACAGUUUUAGAUAUAUAGGCAGUUUUACCCCAGCUGCAAGCAUAGGAUCAGUGAGUGAAACCCAGCCCCUGAAUCGGAGCACUGAAUUUGGAACACUGGUAAACUCGGGCUACAGUGCACUGUCCCACAUCACAGCAGCAAGAUCAGAGCCUCCAGGAUGGAGUCCCAAUAGGGGCUGUUUCCAUCAGUCCUGUGAUAGCCUGUUUCUAGUGUCUGCAAUGCUGUGCUAAAAUAUCUCCUGACAUAAUUUAUGUGUAGCUGUGCUUUGUCCACACCAGAGAGCAGUAUCCUCACUUUGCUUGUGGCAGAGAAAUUCAUUUUGGGGAAAUGGGAGCAUUUGUACUACAAAAGAACACCCACAAUGAUACACAGCCACAGCUGAAGACCAAGUUGUAUCCAUGGUAAGAUUUCUAUGGGUGGAGUUUGAUGGAAUAACCAUCACACACCUAGCAAAAUUAUUUUAGCUGAUUGGCAGCUUGGAUUUGUUUCUACUUGGUUUUUUUUUUAAAUCUUGCUAAAACCUUUGUUUUAAAAGAAGACAGUUUAUGGAAGUAUUUUUCAGGAUUUUACUGCAAACCUAUGGGUCUGGUCACAGAAAAAUAUGAUACAUAUAACCAUGUUAAUUAUAUUACAUUACAAUGAUGGUAUACAUUACAAGUAAGUCUGUAAGUUUAAAUAUACAUCUAGAGUUACAACUGAAUGUACAGAUCUUUUUUACAAUACAUACAGUCAGGAAUGAAAAUCCCUCAAACCCCAAGACCAUAAAUAAUGCCCAUUUUAUAGAUGAUAUCUUUAAAACUAAAAGAGAAAAAAAAAAAAAGAAAAAAAGAAAAAAAAAAA
Molecule: non-coding RNA, 1741 nt
Organism: Cyanistes caeruleus (blue tit)
Lineage: Eukaryota; Metazoa; Chordata; Aves; Passeriformes; Paridae
Source: RefSeq, a predicted model, not a curated record